GACGUAGGAGGCGAGCGUUGUCCGGAUUUACUGGGCGUAAAGGGCGCGUAGGCGGUCAGCACAAGUCAGUUGUGAAAUCUCCGGGCUUAACUCGGAAAGGUCAACUGAUACUGUGCGACUAGAGUGCGGAAGGGGCAACUGGAAUUCUCGGUGUAGCGGUGAAAUGCGUAGAUAUCGAGAGGAACACCUGCGGCGAAGGCGGGUUGCUGGGCCGACACUGACGCUGAUGCGCGAAAGCCAGGGGAGCGAACGGG
This 254-nucleotide ribosomal RNA is filed under the name uncultured bacterium. Its description in RNAcentral is "partial 16S ribosomal RNA". It matches the Rfam family "Bacterial small subunit ribosomal RNA", at positions 524 to 776 of the family's 1533-position model. The record is from RNAcentral.